Molecule: ribosomal RNA, 499 nt
Filed under: uncultured bacterium
Lineage: Bacteria
Description: partial 16S ribosomal RNA
Rfam family: Bacterial small subunit ribosomal RNA
Source: RNAcentral
ACUCAAAUGAAUAGACGGGGGCCCGCACAAGCGGUGGAUCAUGUGGUUUAAUUCGAAGCAACGCGCAAAACCUUACCUGGGUUUGACAUCUUCGGAUCGCUGUAGAAAUACAGUUUUUGUAGCAAUACAACCGAAAGACAGGUGCUGCAUGGCUGUCGUCAGCUCGUGUGGUGACAUGUUGGGUUAAGUCCCGCAACGAGCGCAACCCCUGCCUUUAGUUGCCAGCAUUCAGUUGGGCACUCUAGAGGGACUGCCGUGGUUAACACGGAGGAAGGUGGGGAUGACGUCAAGUCCUCAUGGCCUUUAUAUCCAGGGCGACACACGUGAUACAAUGGACGGUACAAAGGGAUGCGAACCUGCGAGGGGGAGCCAAUCUCAAAAAACCGUUCUCAGUUCGGAUUGGAGUCUGCAACUCGACUCCAUGAAGCUGGAAUCGCUAGUAAUCGCGGAUCAGCACGCCGCGGUGAAUACGUUCCCGGGCCUUGUACACACCGCCCGU